RNAcentral lists this unclassified non-coding RNA (334 nucleotides) under fungal sp. RNAcentral describes it as "partial internal transcribed spacer region". The stretch from base 1 to 46 matches the Rfam family "Eukaryotic small subunit ribosomal RNA", at positions 1786 to 1831 of the family's 1831-position model. The record is from RNAcentral. Lineage: Eukaryota; Fungi.
AAGUCGUAACAAGGUUUCCGUAGGUGAACCUGCGGAAGGAUCAUUAACACGUAUCCAACGUUAAAACCCCCCGUGAACCUUCAGUGUGCUCGUACGCUUUGUUUAGAAAGUAGCAAUCCCUGGUAAAUCAUCGCCCUUGUAGCGCGAGGCAAGUGGCCUGGCAUCCUUGUCUGAAAGUGUCAAGGGUGGCGCAGUCACGAUCGCUAGAGGCCGACACGGCCGGCGACCGGGUCACCGGGCUCACGCCCCUUAAUAACCUUUGCAUGAAAAGGGCCUGCGCUUAAUUGUGCGGCCAUAAACCGAACAACUGUUAACAAUGGAUAUCUUGGUUCUC